This 12420-nucleotide long non-coding RNA is filed under the name Homo sapiens (human). Its description in RNAcentral is "HSALNT0284462". The record is from RNAcentral. Lineage: Eukaryota; Metazoa; Chordata; Mammalia; Primates; Hominidae.
GUGAAGUCAAAUUCUCAUAAUUUUAUCUGUUAUUCCAUUGUACGGCAGCUGAGCUGUGACUCAAACCACAAGAUUCAGUCAUUCUCACUUAUUUCUCCCCUUUGCUUAGACAGAGGAGCCUCACCUCCUGGCCACCUCCACCGCCAGCCCAUGCCAGAGUUUCCUUAAGGUCCAAGUGGGUUUCAGUCAGCUUGCGAUGAUUGUUGCCUUUCCUGGGACUCACACUUCAGGGCAGUGGGCUCCCCUCUGGCCCAUGGCACUUCCAGAAAUGCCAUUCAAGAGACAAAUUUCUGGAAUUUGGGGAUCCCAGGAGCCCACUUGGUGUUCUACUUACCUGUGGCAGAGCUGAUACCUAAAGGAAGCAAGUAUCCAAGUCUCACCCAAGGCCCAUGGUGUACUACCUGGAUAUCACUGGAUAUAAAGAGCCCAAGGGCUCUUUAAUUAGCAGGUGAUGAAACCUGCUGGGAUUGAGUCUUUUUCUUCAAGCCAGUGAUUUUUCCUUCUGUCCCAGGUGUGUCUAGAAGUGUUAUCUUGGACCUACAGCCUGGACAGUGGGCCUCAUGCCUUUGACUGGUGCCCUGUGCUACUCUGGCUAAGCUGGUAUCCAAGAUGCAAGACAGAGUCUUUUAAAAUUUUUCCUCUCCUCUCCACAAGUGGAAGAGAGGGGUCACUUUUGUGUCUGAGAGAUGUGCAGCCUGGGUUUGAGGGAGGUAUUGUGCAAACACUCCUUUAGCUGCCCAACUGGUGUCUCAGCAGGUCACAUGCCUCCCAAGUUCACUGGCUCUAAGCCCAUUUCAGCAGUAGAAUUUGCCUACGUUUUUCAGUCGUCUGGCCUAGAUUGCAUUUCAAGUUUACUUAGGGCACCAGUACGCUUUAGCCCACGGUGGCAAGGCUUGCUAGAAAUCUGCUUCUGACUGCUUAGAUGGGUGAUUCCUCUCUGGCUAGGGUUGUCUUAAAUAUUCUCUCCAUGGGGGAGCAUCAGCUGAGUUUAGCCUGGUUUUGUUUUCUUCUGUGAUAGGGCAGUAUUGAGUUCAAUGCAACGUCUCACAACUGUUGCACUCUCCCUCUUCCAAGAUCACAGAUUCUCUAUCUCUGCCACACAGUUGCUGCUGGGCACUGGGGAGGUGUAGUGUCAGCAAUUCAUGACUGUCUUUUUUUAACCUUUUCAGUGCCUCUUUCAGUAAUAUGAAGUUAAACCAACAUACUGUGAUUAUUCAUCUGAUUCUUUGUUCUUACGAAGAUGCUUUCUUUGUUUAAAUAUUUGUUAAAUUGUUUUUCUUGGUGAAGGGCUUUUGGGGGAGCCUUCUAUUCACCCAUCUUUCUCUGCCUUUCUCCAGCCAAUACCUUUUCAAAGAAGUUUCUUUGACAUAUAACCCUUGCCCCACAUCACAUACUGGAUAGAUACUGUACCUGUGGGUUUUUAUAGUAUCUUACAGUUACUUGUAUUAUGGCACUUACCAAAUUGCCUUGUCAUCAUUUUAUAUCCCCCAUGUACGUUUUGGUUUCCUUCAGAUGUGGAAGUGAAUCUUGUUUUUCAUGUGUUCAAUAUAGUAUCUAAAUAUAAUAGGCAAUUAUAUGUAUAUAAUUGAAUGAAUGAAUCAGUAAAUGAACAAAUCAACAAUAUGCUAAAGAAUUACAGAUAAAUGGAUGUAUACAAAAGUAAGCAUAGAAAUUUUUAUGGAGAAUGUAAUAUUGAACUAAGCCACUAGGGGAGGAGUAGAGUAGUAUAUGCAAAAGUACAGAGGCAUGCAUUAGCAAGUUGCAUACAAUUGUGGAAGGGACAUAGGAUAUAUAUUUUCGAAUGGUGAAAAACUAAGAAAAUGGUCUGCCUGGGGGCAGAUCAUCAGGGCUUUACACAGCAUGCUAAAAAGUUUGGACUUUAUCUUGAAAGCUAUAAACAGACAUUGAACAUUUUUAAGCAAGUUGGUUACAUGAGCAGAUUUCCAUUCAGAGAGAUUACCCUGGAGAUGAUAGAUUGGAGGAUGGAAUGAGAAAGGAGAAAAAAAGUGGAGGCAGAGAAAUUACUUAGAAAGCUUUUUCAGUAUUCUAGGUAAUAGAUGAUGGUGAGUAGAAUAAAGCCAGUAGUACUUCCAGGCGGAAAUAAAAUGACAAAUUUAAGAUAUACUUAUUAAGUCAAACUGACAGGAAUCAAAGUAUGAAUAUGAGAUUUUUUUAAAAAAAUACAACUUGGGGAUGAUUCUCAAGUUUCUUUAUUGGAUAUAAAAUGAAUAUUUUCCUCAUUAAAUGAGAUGGGAAUUACAGGAUAAGCAGUUAGUAUGGGAGAAUAGAAUAUAUUGAAUCUUGGUUUGGUCAUGAUGUUUGAGAUUCCGUAAGAUAUUCAAGUAGAUAUGGGCAGGAUGUCAUUUGAAAUACUUAUUUGGGGCUUGUUAAAAAUAUUUACCUUUUCAUUUGCCUGCCUGCCAACCUAUCUCCUUAACUACUUUUCAAUUGCCUAAUAAAUUACCAUUCUAUCUUGUCUGAAAUUAAAACAGUGUUGUCUCAGAAAUUACUUUUAUAUCCUUCCAGUUUCAAUCACUGGAAUAGUUGUAAUGACCCAAUUUUAGCAAUAAUAAUUUGAUUCUCCCUUCUGCUUUCAGUUAAAACCUAUCCCAUUAGCCCCACAUUUUUAAUGUUUUCUGUCCUUACUACUUACUUUCAAAAUUUGAAGUCCAUAGGACAGUCAAGGCACUAGCUGUUACCAUAGGUUUGCUUUAAAUGGUGGAAAAGCCAGAGAUAGGCCCUUUGCCAAUUAGCCAUUGAUUAUACUUACCCUGACUACAGUGUUCUAAUUCCAGCACUACCCACAGAAUUGUAUGGAUUAUUUUCCCUAUCCCCCAGGAUGUCUGAAAGGCCUUACUGUUAUAAGACUCUGAAAGUUUCAAGGUCAUAAAAUCUCCAUAACUGCCACAGCCUAAGUUCUUCGUAUAACUCUAUUUUGACCUAAAAGCUUUAAGUUUAUUAUUUAUCUGUAUUAUUUUAAAGUGUGUGAGGUGGAGGUUCUUAUUUAUGCACAGAAUUCAUGGAGAAUGAAAACACUUUUUUUUUUUUUUUUGAGACGGAGUUUCUCUCUUGUCACCCAGCCUGGAGUGCAGUGGCGCCAUCUCAGCUCACUGCAACCUCUGACUCCUGAGUUCAAGUGAUUCUCCUGCCUCAGCCUCUUGAGAAGCUGGGAUUACAGGCACCUGCCACCAAGCCUGGCUAAUAUUUUUGUAUUUUUAGUACAGACAGGGUUUCGCCAUGUUGGGCAGGCUGGUCUGGAACUCCUGACCUCAGGUGAUCCACCCGCCUCAGCCUCCCAAAGUGCUGGGAUUAUAGGCGUGAGCCUACGGGUCCGCUGAAGACACUUUAUUGUAAAGUUUAUCUGGGUUUAAGAUAUUUUAGAAGAAAAUAACAUUGGUCUCAAUGAGGUCUUAUUUCUCAUUUUCCUUAUUUUCCAGUCCCAUCACACCCUUCUGUAUGACACAAGCCUAUAUAUGGGUUAAACAUUGCAUGCUUCCAGUAAUACCAACUUAAACAAUUAUGCCAGUGGACCAAAACAUAUGCAUAGUAUAACAGCAUCCUGGUACUACAGAAAUAUCAAGGCAAAGUUGAGAAACUGCAUGAAAGAUAAUGUGUAUCAUCACUCAUUUAAUAUAGGAACAGAUGGAGAAAGCUAUUUCUCUUAUCUUCCAUUUAUUUAUCACUGGUAUUUUUGCAGCUGCCUAACUAUAAACUUGCUAAGGAAAUCAGCAAAGUUGUAUUUUAAAAACUGUGUUAACUAAGUGAAACAUGUAGAAAAGUUUUACUUUCAUAUACUUACAGGCAAUGGCAGAUACAAAAUAAUCCCACCUUUGACAGAUGAUACAAAUUACAGAUAUCAUGAACACCAAAAAAUGUACAUUGUGUUCUCUGCUAUAGUGUCACUUAAAGUAAAAGGAGAGAAUACCAAGCAGUCUGAUGUAACUGAAAUCCAAACAACUAUAAGUGCAAAUAAUAUUUCUGUUAAGCUUAGUGAUCUGAUUUAAGAAGCGUGUGUUUGUUCUUUUCCUAACUGAAAGCAAAUGUCAAUGCAUUCAAAGGCUCUAGAAUAACUUGUACGGUCUUCCUAAAAUUUAAAAUUAAACGACUGUUGUUAUAUUUCACUAGCAGGCACAAGUACCUUUUCUAUUUGUUUGUUUCUUAGUUGUGGUUGAUAAUCUUUGGCCUUGUAUCUUCAAGAUAAUAACUACAGAAAAGCCCCAAUUUCUUUACUAAUAUAUUUCUGAGUACUGGAUUGAAGUCAAACUGUUGUAAGUCAACUUCUCACUUCUUACAUGUGUGUUUCUAUAAACUAGAAUCCCAUUAACAGAAAUUUAUUCCAUAAUAUGAAAAUACCAAUAUUAAGCAUGUUAUUAAAAGUAAAUCAAAUUAUAUGUUUUUACAUGUAUUUAUUUUAUAAAAACACAACAGCAAAGCUACAGGAUAUAUAUUCUGUAGGAGAAUGUUUACUUAAAUAAAAUUGUUGAGGAUUUCUUUAGAAAACUGACUUUUUAAGGUUUGUAAAUGGUACACAACACUACAAACUAAAAAUGAAAGCUAAAAAUGAGCCCUCUAUUACAACUAGAAUAUACCUCAGGUAAGCCCCACUCUUCCAGGCUGAACCCUGGAAGAACGUGAAACAAACCUGAACCUGGUAAUCAGUUCAGGUUUGAACCAAAGCUCCCUUAGCUUACCCAUCAACCCGUCAGUGAAAAAUUAGUGUUGGUAAACCACUGAGUUUUGGGGUUGUUAUGCAGCUUUAUCUCACACAAGCACACUAAUGGACCAAAGUUAAGUCACUGAAUCGCAGAAAUUACAAACAAUAAAUCUCAAUCCUCUCUAGAAAAGCACAAAACAUUUAAAGAACUAAAAGAUACACUUACAAAAAUAGGCAAACACAGAAAAUUAACAGGAAUGAACACACACAUUUUGGGAGAAAAUUUACAACAUAUGGAAAAUCUAGAUACAGAAAAUGUAAUUGUUAACCAAAAAUCAAACUCAAUGGAAGAAUUUAACAACAUAUUAGACACAACUUAAGUGAUAAUUAGUGAAGUGGGAGAGUCUGUGAAAAAAAUUACCCAAUAUGGAACACAGAGACUAAAAGAUGGACAAUAUGAAAGGUAUCAUAAAAGAUAAUGAAGAUAGAAUGAGAAGUCUAGUCAUGUAAUAUGUAUCUAAUUAAAGGUUCAGAUAUAGAGAAUUAAAAGAAAGAAGUGUAAGUAAUUAUUUGAAAAAUACCAAACUAAUAAAACUAAACAUAAAUCCGAGAAGGAACAAUAUAUACCAAGCAGUAUAUAAUUUAAAAAAAAUCUACUUUGACAUGUUGUAGUAAAUUUGAAGAAAGACACAUAAAAUGUCUUAUUUGCAGUUAUAUAAAGACAGGUCACAUACAAAGAAUGAGCAAUCAGAAUAUUAGAAUUUAUUUCAGAAUAAAAUUGGACUCAUCUGCUUUUAUUAGGGCUUAUUCUUUGGGAAAUUAAGUCUCCUCUCUCAAAGAAUAAAGGCUUUUGCCUUUUGUUGAAAAUCUUUGAGUUAUCACUUUGGCUAAGUUAGUGACUUAUUUUACAACGACCUGUGAUCCUAUUUAGUGAUAUUAAGUGUUUUAAAAUUUUACUUUUGACAAACUUUUCAAAGUCAAGUUCUAACUUUGGUCCUCAUUAAUUUUUUAAUAUUAGUCCCCUGAAGUCCAAAAGAAAUAUAUUCAGCUUAUUUGGUAUAAAGAAAUCGUACAGGAAGUACUGUCAAAUAUAAAAUACGUGACAAUAUUUUGUCAAACUAAAUUAGGUGUUUAGCCUUUCUUUGGAUUAUAUUUAUAUAAAUGUGUUAUUAGUAUGUGUUCCAGAAUUGUAUACAAUUCCUGCUAUGCUGAUACGUUUUAGCAUAUGUUACCAGUAGUAAUUAUAAUUAUUAUGUAAAAUUAUAUGCCACAGAAGUAACCAAAUUUUCUUGUCAAUUGUGUCUUUAUGACUGUUUUAAGACUUUUGUCAUCCACAAUUGUUUUACUUUUAUCAUUUUCAAAAGGUGGUUUUAUAAUCAGCAUAGGACUCUGAUGGGUGCUGUGAAAUGCAGUUUUGGAGAUUGUGACAUAGAUUAGGGAAAAAAAACUCCCAAGACUCCCAUGGAGAGCUAAAAUGUUCCGGAAUAUCAAGCAGAAUGGGAGGUAACGACAUGGACUGAACUAACAGAAGACUGAAAUAAUCCUGUAAUGACUUUUUGCUUAAAAUGUUGUUAUCCUUUUCUUUGUUUUUCACAGCCAAAAAAAAAUUUUUUUUCUUUUGAGCUAUUUGCAGCUUUUAACAAUCGAAUAAAGUGUGCUCCUAUAAAAAAAAUUGGAGCAUAUUUCUCUCUACCUAAUUUCUUCAAAAUUUAGAAACUAGUUUUUAAUAUGUAAGGUCAGCUGAGAGAGAAAGAAUGAGAGAGAGAGAGACCCAAGUUCAGCAAGCCUUUAUUAACCUACAGACUGCCCUCUAAACAGUCAGAGAGAGCAGCCCCCAGCUUACAGAAUGAGGGGUUUAUAUUGGGGAGGGAGUUUGAGGGAGUUCUUUGGUAUGGCUGCAUCCCGGGGUUGUUUGCUGGUUAAUUUUGCCACAUAUUACCCUGUGAUGUUUAUGGUAGAAUUUACAGGAGGGUGUAGGUAAAGUUUGUUUAUGCUUCCCACAACCUCCCCCGUGCGGUCUGGAUUUUUUGUAAUUGGGGUUUGCUUUAUUGAAGCAAGACCUGAUAGAUAAAAUCUGCUGGCUUCACCACAGCGCCUAGGUAAGGGCUUAGAAAUGUAAAAUGGUUUUGGGGAAGGGUGGGCAGCAUGGAGAGGUUUGGGGGGAGUGUUGGCAGUACCAAGAAGCUUUUUGGGGCGGUUUGUCCCUAACAGAAUAUACUUCACUUAUGGCAAUAUAGUGAUUUGCAUAAGUGCAAUAAGAAUCUGUGUUAUUAACAGGACAGAAUUGGAGACAUUGGUUAUUUAAGGUUUUGACUGAAAUGGCAUCCUAUCAGGUAAAGACUCCUUUAAGGAAUGAAAGAUGGCUUACAGAGCCAAUGAAAGUCCCUUGGGAAAGCUGACUUCAAACCUUGUCUACAAAGUCCUCGUAUAGGUUUCUGAUCUGUGGUAAGUAAAGAAUGUCGCUUUCUGGCCAGGUGCGGUGGCUCAUGCCUGUAAUCCCAGCACUUUGGGAGGCCGAGGCAGGUGGAUCACAAGAUCAGGAGUUCGAGACCAGCCUGACCAACAUGGUGAAACCCCAUUUCUACUAAAAAUACAAAAAUUAGCUGGGUGUGGUGGCGCGCACCUGUAAUCCCAGCUACUCAGGAGGCUGAGGCAGGAGAAUCACUUGAAUCCAGGAGGCAGAUGUUGCAGUGAGCCAAGAUCACGCCAUUGCACUCCAGCCUGGGCGACAGAGCGAGACUCCGUCUAAAAAAAAAAAAAAGAAUGUUGCUUUCUGACAAGCCCAGGGGCCCCAAGUUUUCUGGGGACCUUGAGGUGAAGAAUUCACCUAAUUAAUAAAGUUUUCUCUGUGUAGGACGUGAGACUUUACGACCUGCUAAAAAUGAGCUUUCCUAAUAAUGUGGGACCUAUUCAUCUAAGAAUAAAUCAUCCGCUCCGUGACAGAUCAGACAGAACCUGAGACCAGAAACUCAUUUUCUUCUAAAAUGCUUUCUCUGAAAGAUUUUAAAAAGAAAAGGGGGAAAUGUAAAAGGAAAAUACAUCUUGAGACCCCCAAAUCACUAAGCCAAAGAAAGAGGUUAAGCUGAGAACUGCUUAGGGAAAAUCUUCCUUCCAUUCUAUUCCUAAAAACGAUAGCUCGUAAGAUUAAAAAAGCUACAUACCUGCCUCACAAGAAAUUUCCUUGCAGACAAAGGGCAUGCAGAACUCAAAGUCAUUCCUCUGCUCACUGAGAUAGAUAUGUAUUGAUUGUCUCCACUGGAAAGGCUAAUCAGAAACUCAAAAGAAUAACAUCGAAGGUGCCACUCCUGAGGAAAUCUCAACUGCACGACCCCUACUACGCCCCAAUUCAGCAGGAAGCAGUUAGAGCGGUCGUGGGCCAACCUCCCCCAACAGCACUUGGGUUUUCCUGUUGAGAGGGGGACUGAAAGGCAGGACUAGCUGGAUUUCCUAGGCCGACUAAGAAUCCCUAAGCCUAGCCGGGAAGGUGACCGCCUCCACCUUUAAAACACAGGGCUUGCAACUUAGCUCACACUUGACCAAUCAGGUAGUAAAGAGAGCUCACUAAAACGCUAAUUAGGCUAAAACAGGAGGUAAAGAAAUAGCCAAUCAUCUAUUGCCUGAGAGCACAGGGGGAGGGACAAUGAUUGGGAUAUAAACCCAGGCAUUCAAGCUGGCAAGGGCAACCCCCUUUGGGUCCCCUCCCAUUUUAUGGGAGCUCUGUUUUCACUCUAUUAAAUCUUGCAACUGCGAAAAAAAAAAAAAAGAAUGCAACGGUUUGCCUUUUAUCUGCCUAUGACCUGGAAGCCCCCUCCCUGCUUUGAGUUGUCCUGCCUUUCAGGACUGAACCAAUGUACAUCUUACACAUAUUGAUUGAUGUCUCAUGUCUCUCUAAAAUGUAUAAACCAAGCCAUGCCCCGACCACCUUGGGCACAUGUCACCAGGGCCUCCUGAGGCUAUGUUACAGGCACAUGUCCUUAACUUUGGGAAAAUAAACUUUCUAAAUUGACUGGGAUCUUUCUCAGAUAUUUGGAACUCACUCUACACAGACACACAGACACACACACAAACACACUCACAAACAUGCACACACAAAUACACAUAUAUGUAUAUUUGUGUUAUAAACGUAUUAGUCCUUUUUCUGUAAUACAGAUUUUAAGUAAACUCCAGUGCUUCAUUUGUCUUUUUACUUUGCUUAUCGUUCUUUUUUUCUUUUAAGUUUUAAAACACUUUAGGGAAUAGGAAGAGCAAGAUGACUAAAAAAAUCUCUCCAAUGAUAACCCUACCACAGGAACACCGAAUUGAAUAACUAUACAUGCAAGAAAGAACUUCCAUAAAAACCAAAAAAAAAUAAGCAAUCACAGUACCUGAUUAUAACAUCAUAUCAAGAAAAGAAGCACUGAAGAGGGUAGCCAGGGUAGUCUUGCAUUGCCUACAUCAUCCCUCCUCCAUCCCCCAGCAGUACAAAGAGAGAUAAUGUAUGUGCUUGUGGGAGGGGGAGUCAAGGACUUUGGUAUUUGUAUUGGAAUUCAGUGCUACCUUGUCCCAGUGGAACACAACACAGGGCAGAAUUUAGCCAGUGCCAACAGAGGAGGCAUUUAGACUAACCCCAGUCAAAAGGUAAUCUUUUACUCCAGCAGUGGGAACCUGAGCUCUGGCUAGCUCCAUCAAUGCCUGAUUAAUGUAGCCUGGGGUCCUGGAUAAACUUGAAAGACAGUCAGGCUCAAGGCUUGCAGUCCUUGGGUAAGUCCUGUUGCUUUGCUGAGCUUGGAGACAGUGGUAUUGAGAUACCCACAGCUCAGUGAGACAAAAGCUGGAGUGGCCAAGGGAAUGCUUGCAUCAGCUCUUCUCCAACUCCAGGAAGCACAACUCAUAGCUCCAGGAGAGACUCCUUCCACUUGCAGAAAGGAAAAGGAAGAGUAAAAAGAACUUUGUCCUGUGACUUAGAUACACUUUCAGCCACAGUUUAAAAAUAACAAUAAUAAAAAAAUAAAAGCAUAAAGCAGAGUCCUGAGACCUCCAAUUCCAGACCCUAGGUCUUGGAUGACAUUUCUAAACCCACCCUGGGCUAGAAGGGAACCCACUAACCUGAAGUGAAAAACCAAGCCUUGGCAGGAUGCAACACAUGCUGACUAAAGGGACCUUGAUAGGGCUACAUGAGUGGUAGCCAGGCAGUAGUCACCAUGGGCCUUGGACUAGACCCAUUACCGUGCUGGCUUCAAGUGUGACCCAGCAUAGUCCCAACUUUGGUGGCCCUGGAAGUGUUUGCAUCAUCCCUCCCCCAAUUUCAGUCAGCCCAGCACAGAGAGACAAACACUUGUUUGGGGAAAAGUGAGAGAAGAGGAUGAGAGACUCCCUGGUAUUCCAGGAAAUGCUCCCAGAUCUUAUUCAAGUCCACCCAUGAUAUACCUCUGCAAGUAUGCAAAUAUGGCAUCACUACUGGACUUGUGGCACUCCCUAGUGCAGAUAUAGCUGCAGUAACCAAAGACUUAAGUUGCAACUCUAGAUAUGGGAAAGUCUUCUCGAGAAGUAUAAAUCCAAACAAGAAAGAACUGCAAAGAUUAGAAUACCUAAACUCUUCAGCGCCCAAACAUCAUGAACAUCAACAAGCAUCAAGAAUAUACAAGAAAACAUGACCUGACCAAAUGAACAAAAUAAGGCACCACUGACCAAUCCUGGAGUGAGAGACAUAUGUGACUUUUCAAAAGAGAACUCAAAAUAGGUUUUUUUGAGGAAGCUUAACCAAUUUCACAGUAACACAAAUAAGGAAUUUAGAAUUCUAUUAGAAAACAUUUACAAAGAGAUUGAAAUAAUAGAAAAAUCAAGUAGAUAUUUAGAAGUUUAAAAAUUCAAUUAACAAAAUGAAAACAUGCAUCAGAGUAUUUUAAUAGCAGAAAUUAUUAGGCUGAAAAAAAAUAGUGAACUUGGAGAUCGGCUACUGAAAAUGCACAGUAAGAGAAAGCAAAAGAAAAAAGGAUGAAAAAGAAUGAAGUAAACCAACAAGAUCUAGAAAAAGGCCUCAAAAAAAUCUAAUCAUUACUGGUCUAAAAGAGGAGGUAUAGCAAGAGGUUGGGGUAAAAGUCUAUUCAAAGAAAUAAUAACAGUGAACUUUUGAAACCUAAAGAAAGUUAUCAAUAUUCAAGUUUAAGAAAGUAAUAGAACACCAAGUGGAUUUAACACAUUAAGACUACUUCAAGACAUUCAAUAAUCAAACUCCCAAAACAAAAAGAUAAAGAAAGAAUCCUAAAUGCAGCAAGAAAAAACAAGCAAAUAACAUACAAAGGAGUGUCAGUAUCCAGUGAAAAUACCUUUAAAACAUAAAGGAGGCCAGGCACGGUGGCUCAUGCCUGUAAUCCCAGCACAUUAGCAGGCUGAGGCAGGUGGAUGCACGACGUCAGGAGUUUGAGACCAGCCCGGCCAACAUGGUGAAACCCCGUCUCUAGUAAAAAUACAAAAAUUAUCUGAGUGUUGUGGCGUGCACCUGUAACCCCAGCUGCUUGAGAGGCUGAGGCAAGAGAAUUGCUUGAACCCAGGAGUCAGAGGUUGUAGUGAGCCGAGAUCGGAGAUCGUGCCAUUGCACUCCAGCUGGGGUGACAGAGCAAGACUCUUUCACAAAAAAAAAAAAAAAAAAAAAAAAACACACACACGCACACACAUAAAGGAGAAAUAUUUUCCCAAUGAGCGUUAAGAAAUUUGGAAAACACCAGACCUGUCAUUCAAGAAAUGUAAAAGGAAGUUCUUGAUUCUAAAAAGAAAGAAUGUUAAUGAGCAAUAAGAAAUUAUCUAAAGGUAAAAACUCACAGGUAACAGUGAGUACACAAAGAAUAUUCUGACAAUGUAUUCGCUGUGUGUAAACCAUUCAUAUCUUGAGUAGUAAGACUAAAAGACAAACUUAUUUAAAAUAAUAACUAAAAUACUUUUUAAGGUGUAGAUACUGCAAAGGACAUGAACUCAUUCUUUUUUAUAGCUGCAUAGUAUUCCAUGAUGUAUAUGUACCACAUUUUCUUUAUGCAGUCUAACAUUGAUGGGCAUUUGGGUUGGUUCCAAGUCUUUGUUAUUGUGAAUAGUGCUUCAAUAAACAUGCGUGCAUGUGUCUUUAUAGUUGAAUGAUUUAUAAUCCUUUGGGUAUAUACCCUGUAAUGGCAUUGCUGAGUCAAAUGGUAUUUCUGGUUCUGGAUUCUUGAGUAAUCAACACACUGUCUUCUACAGUGGUUGAAUUAAUUUACACUCCCACCCACAGUAUAAAAGCGGAUACAUUACUAGACAUACACAACUUACCAAAAAAAAAAAAAAAUAGUAAAAGCAUUUCUAUUUCUCCACAUCCUCUCCAGCGUCUGUUGUUUCCUGACUUUUUAGUGAUUGCCAUUCUAACUGGCAUGAGAUGGUAUCUAAUUGUGGUUUGAUUUACAUUUCUCUAAUGACCAGUGAUGAUGAGCUUUUUUUCAUAUGUUUGUUGGCUGCAUAAAUGUCUUCUUUUGAAAAGUGUCUGUUUAUAUCCUUCGCCCACUUUUUGAUAAGGUUGUUUGCUUUUUUCUUGUAAAUUUGUUUAAGUUUCUUGUAAAUUCUGGAUAUUAGCCCUUUAUCAGAUGGAUAGAUUGCAAAAAUUUUCUCCCAUUCUGUAGGCUGCCUGUUCACUCUGAUGAUAGCUCCUUUUGCUGUGCCAAAGCACUUCAUUCUCAGCAAACUAACACAGGAAUAGAAAACCAAACACCACAUGUUCUCACUCAUAAGUGGAAGUUGAACAAUGAGAACAUAUGGGCAGAGGGAGG